UCAUGGCUCAGGACGAACGCUGGCGGCGUGCUUAACACAUGCAAGUCGAACGAUGAACCACCUUCGGGUGGGGAUUAGUGGCGAACGGGUGAGUAACACGUGGGCAAUCUGCCCUGCACUCUGGGACAAGCCCUGGAAACGGGGUCUAAUACCGGAUACUGACCUGCCGAGGCAUCUCGGCGGGUCGAAAGCUCCGGCGGUGCAGGAUGAGCCCGCGGCCUAUCAGCUUGUUGGUGAGGUAAUGGCUCACCAAGGCGACGACGGGUAGCCGGCCUGAGAGGGCGACCGGCCACACUGGGACUGAGACACGGCCCAGACUCCUACGGGAGGCAGCAGUGGGGAAUAUUGCACAAUGGGCGCAAGCCUGAUGCAGCGACGCCGCGUGAGGGAUGACGGCCUUCGGGUUGUAAACCUCUUUCAGCAG
Molecule: ribosomal RNA, 424 nt
Filed under: Streptomyces diastaticus
Lineage: Bacteria; Bacillati; Actinomycetota; Actinomycetes; Kitasatosporales; Streptomycetaceae
Description: bacterial SSU rRNA
Rfam family: Bacterial small subunit ribosomal RNA
Source: RNAcentral